RNAcentral lists this ribosomal RNA (253 nucleotides) under uncultured bacterium. RNAcentral describes it as "partial 16S ribosomal RNA". It matches the Rfam family "Bacterial small subunit ribosomal RNA", at positions 524 to 776 of the family's 1533-position model. The record is from RNAcentral.
UACGUAGGGGGCAAGCGUUGUCCGGAUUCAUUGGGCGUAAAGAGCGUGUAGGCGGCCAGGUAGGUCGGUUGUGAAAACUGGAGGCUCAACCUUCAGAGGUCGACCGAAACCAUCUGGCUAGAGUCCGGGAGAGGAGAGUGGAAUUCCUGGUGUAGCGGUGAAAUGCGCAGAUAUCAGGAGGAACACCGGUGGCGAAGGCGGCUUGCUGGGCCAGUUCUGACGCUGAGGAGCGAAAGCGUGGGGAGCGAACAGG